AACAUAGGAGACGAGCGUUAUCCGGAUUUACUGGGCGUAAAGCGCGUGUAGGAGGCAAUACAAGUUGGAUGUAAAAUCUCCCGGCUUAACUGGGAGGCGUCGUUCAAGACUGUAUAGCUGGAGUGCUGUAGAGGUAAUCGGAACUCCGGGAGUAGCGGUGAAAUGCGUAGAUAUCCGGAAGAACACCAGAGGCGAAAGCGGAUUACUGGGCAGUAACUGACACUGAGACGCGAAAGCCAGGUUAGCAAAA
This 250-nucleotide ribosomal RNA is filed under the name uncultured prokaryote. RNAcentral describes it as "partial 16S ribosomal RNA". It matches the Rfam family "Bacterial small subunit ribosomal RNA", at positions 524 to 773 of the family's 1533-position model. The record is from RNAcentral.